RNAcentral lists this unclassified non-coding RNA (347 nucleotides) under soil metagenome. RNAcentral's name for it is "partial contains 5.8S ribosomal RNA, internal transcribed spacer 2, and large subunit ribosomal RNA". The stretch from base 1 to 120 matches the Rfam family "5.8S ribosomal RNA", at positions 35 to 154 of the family's 154-position model. The record is from RNAcentral.
GAUGAAGAACGCAGCGAAAUGCGAUAAGUAAUGUGAUUUGCAGAAUUCAGUGAAUCAUCGAGUCUUUGAACGCACAUUGCGCCCCCUGGUAUUCCGGGGGGCAUGCCUGUCCGAGCGUCAUUGCUGCCCUCAAGCACGGCUUGUGUGUUGGGCCGUCGUCCCCCUCCUAGGGGACGGGCCCGAAAGGCAGCGGCGGCACCGCGUCCGGUCCUCGAGCGUAUGGGGCUUCGUCACCCGCUCCGUAGGCCCGGCCGGCGCUUGCCGACGACCAUCAAUCUCUUUCUCCAGGUUGACCUCGGAUCAGGUAGGGAUACCCGCUGAACUUAAGCAUAUCAAUAAGCGGAGGA